Molecule: long non-coding RNA, 660 nt
Organism: Solanum stenotomum
Lineage: Eukaryota; Viridiplantae; Streptophyta; Magnoliopsida; Solanales; Solanaceae
Exons: 3
Source: RefSeq, a predicted model, not a curated record
UCUAAUUAUUGUUUGAUCUCCUCACCCAUCUCUCUGUAAUAGAAAACACCUUGUACCAUAUAGGUUUUGGAUCUACGAUCAAUCAGUUAACAAUAGACCAAUCUAUCACUGAGCUACUGAGGAACAACAGGAGAUUCGAUAAGUUAAGAUUAUAUUGAGCAAACGAGCUACGCAGACAUGCUGGAUCUAGCAGUGCAGCACAUUCGAACCCUUCAAGAUCAGGUUCAGAAUCUGAAUACAGAACUUGAAAACUGCAAAUGUGGAUGUAAGAAAUCAAGUCAAUAAUAAAAUGGAAGGAAGCACUUUAGCUGAAGAUCGACUUAAAAGGAUUUUUGUCACCAUGAUUUUGCCUCUUAGAAACUCAAAUUUGUACAUAAGGAAGUAAAUUUCAUACUAGUUUUUUAAAGCUAAAAGGCGAACUCUCUUUGUUUUUUUUUUUUGUUUUUUUUUUCCUUUUCCAGUUAGAAGACUACGUAUAUGAUUGUUUUGGAUUAUUUCUAGUUUUUUUUUUUCCAUCUAACAUUUACAUUUUUAAUUUAGUUUUGAGUUUAUUUUGGUUGCAGAUCAUAAAGCUAAUUGAUGAUGUUGUACAACAACUUUCUCUAUUUCAUUUUUAUGUAAAAUGAGUGGGCAAGACAUUUUCUUGCUUUCUGUUAUGUU